AUUGAACGCUGGCGGCAGGCUUAACACAUGCAAGUCGAGCGAGCGGUGGACGGGUGAGUAAUGUCUGGGAAACUGCCUGAUGGAGGGGGAUAACUACUGGAAACGGUAGCAAAUACCGCAUACCUCCAGAUGUGCCCAGAUGGUAUUAGCUAGUAGGUGGGGUAAUGUCUCACCUAGGCGACGAUCCUUAGCUGGUCUGAGAGGAUGACCAGCCACACUGGAACUGAGACACGGUCCAGACUCCUACGUGAGGCAGCAGUAGGGAAUAUUGCGCAAUGGGCGCAAGCCUGAUGCAGCCAUGCCGCGUGUGUGAAGAAGGCCUUCGGGUUGUAAAGCACUUUCAGCGGGGAGGCGGGACUCGAAGAGGAAGCACCGGCUAACUCCGUGCCAGCCGCCGCGGUAAUAC
This 406-nucleotide ribosomal RNA is filed under the name uncultured bacterium. RNAcentral's name for it is "partial 16S ribosomal RNA". It matches the Rfam family "Bacterial small subunit ribosomal RNA", at positions 30 to 526 of the family's 1533-position model. The record is from RNAcentral.